AUGCACGCUGGCGGCGUGCCUAAUACAUGCAAGUCGAGCGAACAGACGAGGAGCUUGCUCCUCUGACGUUAGCGGCGGACGGGUGAGUAACACGUGGAUAACCUACCUAUAAGACUGGGAUAACUUCGGGAAACCGGAGCUAAUACCGGAUAAUAUAUUGAACCGCAUGGUUCAAUAGUGAAAGACGGUUUUGCCGUCACUUAUAGAUGGAUCCGCGCCGCAUUAGCUAGUUGGUAAGGUAACGGCUUACCAAGGCAACGAUGCGUAGCCGACCUGAGAGGGUGAUCGGCCACACUGGAACUGAGACACGGUCCAGACUCCUACGGGAGGCAGCAGUAGGGAAUCUUCCGCAAUGGGCGAAAGCCUGACGGAGCAACGCCGCGUGAGUGAUGAAGGUCUUCGGAUCGUAAAACUCUGUUAUUAGGGAAGAACAAAUGUGUAAGUAACUAUGCACGUCUUGACGGUACCUAAUCAGAAAGCCACGGCUAACUACGUG
This 496-nucleotide ribosomal RNA is filed under the name uncultured bacterium. RNAcentral describes it as "partial 16S ribosomal RNA". It matches the Rfam family "Bacterial small subunit ribosomal RNA", at positions 29 to 507 of the family's 1533-position model. The record is from RNAcentral.